AAAAAUAUUUAUACUGAGCUACUACUAUAUGUCAAUCCCUGUGGGAAUUCAGAGUUGAUUAAGGUAAAUUCAUUGAUGGAUUGAAUUGGGUUGUCCACAAAAAAAGGAAAAUCAAAGGUAACACUCUGAGAAAAUAUUAGUACUUACAAAUCUAUAAGACAAAUAUUAAUGAAACUUCAUGGUCCAAGAUUGUUUGUACUUCUAUUUGCCUGAAAG
Molecule: long non-coding RNA, 216 nt
Filed under: Papio anubis (olive baboon)
Lineage: Eukaryota; Metazoa; Chordata; Mammalia; Primates; Cercopithecidae
Description: lncRNA (ENSPANG00000045974.1)
Source: RNAcentral